Molecule: long non-coding RNA, 1306 nt
Filed under: Cricetulus griseus (Chinese hamster)
Lineage: Eukaryota; Metazoa; Chordata; Mammalia; Rodentia; Cricetidae
Description: lncRNA (ENSCGRG00015038233.1)
Source: RNAcentral
AUCAAUAGUGACAGCCAUGUCACUCACAAUAAUCAGGGCAGAGUGAGAUGGCCCAUGAUCCUGAGUGACAGCCUGUGGAGGUGCCUCUUACCAGUGGGAAUGUUCUGCCGCCCUUGAGGGGGAGAGAGAGAGGCUGAGGAAGAAUGAAGAGAGAGUGUCCUCUGCGAGCAGCUGCCUCGUGCCAUCUGAGGAACAGCUACAGUGUGACAUCUGGAGACAUCAAAGGCUAGAAGCUAUUUCCUAAAGCAGAAUACCGAGGGGACAAGGGCAGGACACUCCAUCUUCCCCACUGCCCUCACCCGCUCCUGCUGACCACAGUGGAAGACUUGAUGAGGAUGCCAGAGCAACAAGCUACUCAGAUCUCACCAGAAGAUACUCUGCGGUGUGAGAUAGCCUGGUGUAUCCUUGUCUGGCCUGUCCUUCCUGCUGUGCCCAGCCCAUUGGGCUAGACCAAGGUCUCUGACCUACCAAGUCACAAGGUGGCACCUCUUCCCUGACUGGGAUGGCAGAUUCCAUUUCUGGCUUGUCUGUGUCUCAUUUUCAGAAACCACCCCCCGGGGGAGCUUGUUAAAAGGCCAUUGGCAUCCCCAGGAGGGGCCCAAUUUGCCUUUAUGAAUGAACCGUUCCUGAGAAAUCAAUGAACAUGUCACUCAGGUCAAGUAAACAAAUGUGCUUUUUCCUUGGGGCCUGGAAUCAGGCUUCGAGCCUCCCAGUGGGCGGUGGGUUCUGAGAAGUGCUUUGUCUGGGCUGAGGAUGGCUUUGGGUUAGCACUCCCAGCAGAGCCAGGGCAUCCCAGAGCGCACACUCAUAGGUCCUUGUUCCCACCCCAGCGGGAAGGGCAAAGAACAGCAUCUCUGGGCUUUUUUUUUUUUUAAGAUUUUAUUUAUUUAUUAUGUAUACAAUAUUAUGCUUCCAUGUAUAUCUGUACACCAGAAGAGGGCACCAGAUCUCAUAACAGAUGGUUGUGAGCCACCAUGUGGUUGCUGGGAAUUGAACUCAGGAUCUCUGGAAGAGCAGUCAGUGCUCUUAACCUCGGAGCCAUCUCUCCAGCCCCAUCUCUGGGCUUUUUAUGGUCAGAAAAGAGCUCAGAAUUAAAAAAAAAAAAAAAAAAAAAAGCUCAGAAAAAUCUUUUUUCUUCUUUUUUUUUGGGGGGGGGAGGGCGCGUUCGAUACAGGGUUUCUCUGUGGCUUUGGAGGUUGUCCUGGAACUAGCUCUUGUUUGACCAGGCUGGUUUCAAACUCAGAGAGAUCCACCUGCCUCUGCCUCCCGAGUGCUGGGAUUAAAGGCGUGCGCAACCACUACUCAG